UACGUAGGGUGCGAGCGUUGUCCGGAAUUAUUGGGCGUAAAGAGCUCGUAGGCGGUGUGUCGCGUCGGCCGUGAAAACCUGCAGCUUAACUGUGGGCUUGCGGUCGAUACGGGCAUCACUGGAGUUCGGCAGGGGAGACUGGAAUUCCGGGUGGAGUGGUGAAAUGCGUAGAGAUCCGGAGGAACACCAGAGGCGAAGGCGGCCUACUGGGUCAGUACUGACGCUGAGCCGCGAAAGCCAGGGGAGCAAACGGG
Molecule: ribosomal RNA, 254 nt
Filed under: uncultured bacterium
Lineage: Bacteria
Description: partial 16S ribosomal RNA
Rfam family: Bacterial small subunit ribosomal RNA
Source: RNAcentral